AUGAAAACCACUUCUAAUUGUCAUCGUGCUCCGAAGGCACCAAUUAGGCUAAUGCCACUGGUUGCGAAGGCAACAUGCAUAUGUAGGAGAAAUUGUAUAUAUAGCUAG
Molecule: ribosomal RNA, 108 nt
Filed under: Triticum aestivum (bread wheat)
Lineage: Eukaryota; Viridiplantae; Streptophyta; Magnoliopsida; Poales; Poaceae
Description: partial small subunit ribosomal RNA
Source: RNAcentral